Long non-coding RNA from Mercurialis annua (annual mercury), 337 nucleotides. RefSeq lists it as uncharacterized. The record is from RefSeq and is a predicted model, not a curated record. NCBI's taxonomy places the organism in Eukaryota, Viridiplantae, Streptophyta, Magnoliopsida, Malpighiales, Euphorbiaceae. The transcript has 2 exons.
CGGCAUUGUGGAUUUGAUUUGGAACGUGCUACUCGAUGGGCAUCAUCGGGACUGCGUGCGCACCGGUAAUGAUUAUGGUAUUGAGGUUUAUGAUUUGAGCUUUGGUCGAUCUCCGUUUCUUCAUUUCCGGAGGUUUUUAUUUUAUUUUCAGAAAUAAAGAGUCGAACUGUUUUAAACUCUUAGACCGCAGUAGUAGUAUAGAUUAAUUAUGAUUAGUCUUUUAUUAUAUUUUCAGACUAUUGAUUGUUAGUGAUUACUUUAUCGUUUUUGGCAUGAUUACAGUAUUUAUGGUAUUUAUAUUAUAUUGCCAUACUGUUGGAGUUAUAAUUUCAGAUAA